GAUGUGGUAGAUGCAUGUACUUUCCAAAGGUUAAUCUAAUUUUGCUGCUCUACAUCAAAGAUUACUUAGCAGCCAACAUCUUCAUCACUGAGGUCUGAUUUCUCUCUGGAGGUACUAAGAAACAGAUAUCCAUGAGACAAAACCUUACAAGUUUUGAGCCACCUAAAUCCAUUGUCUCCAAGUUUGGUUCCUAUGGCUCUAUUCAGCCUAAAGUUGCAAUAAAUGGACAAG
This is a long non-coding RNA of Dipodomys ordii (Ord's kangaroo rat), 231 nucleotides long. RefSeq lists it as uncharacterized. Lineage: Eukaryota; Metazoa; Chordata; Mammalia; Rodentia; Heteromyidae. The transcript has 2 exons. The record is from RefSeq and is a predicted model, not a curated record.